RNAcentral lists this long non-coding RNA (2628 nucleotides) under Brassica napus (rape). RNAcentral's name for it is "long non-coding RNA (BNAP_LNC007166)". Lineage: Eukaryota; Viridiplantae; Streptophyta; Magnoliopsida; Brassicales; Brassicaceae. The record is from RNAcentral.
GCUGGGUUGCAAAAUCAUUACAUAGCUACUCGGCAUAUAUGUCAUAUAUACACGCAAAUAAGUUGAAAAUUUAACAAAAUUCAAAUAUUGAGCACCAGAGUAAUUUCAUAAACACACUGCAACAUAUAUUAUAUAUUCUUUACAAUGAUACAACAUGCUAUCAGUAAAACUUAAUUAAAAGGAAAAAUCACUUGAAAAGUCAAAGAAGUGACAAAAAGGCUUCUUGUUCAUGUGAUCUUCCUAGGCCGCCCGCCCACCUCUCAACUCCCAAACGUAUUGCAAUAUUGACAUACAAUUUGAAAGGUAUAAUUACGACAAGGGUAAAUUAGUUAACAUUUUUGUGUAAGGUAAAUUAAUUAACAUAUAAAAAGGAAAGCGACCAGAAAACAAAACAAUACCUUGUCUAAUUCUAGGAUUAAAGAUGAUUAAAUAUUUCCUAUUCUGUGGUUACAGAAAAGAGAAUUUUGCUUGUUCAAUACGUAAUUGAAUGAUAAACCUGUCAUCCGCCACCAAUUUUCAGAGUCAGAAUUAUUACAAGUAGGAAAUAACUGGUUGAGCGAAGACACGAACCUAAUCCAGUCGACUAUAUUGACUUUCCUUCGUUCUAUAUAUUAUCGUAAGCAUGGCUAUAAUUAAUGAUUCAUUCUGUUGUAAAACCUUUUUUGUUUGCUUAUAUAUAUUUUUUUGAAACACUUUUUUUUUUUUUUUUUGAAACACUUUUGCUUAUAUAUAUCAAACAACACUUUGCUAAGUAUACCGCAAAAAAACAUCAUCACAAGUUUUCUUAUUUGCUACUUUUAUUUACCGAAUGACUUAUUAAACUCUGUAUACGUGACUUAUUAAACUCUGUAUACGUGAUAUGAAAGUUGGAAUUCUCUAAGAGCAUGAUUAAUAGAGAUUUUUAAGGAAAAUAUAAAAAAGUGUCUUAACUUUUAACUAAAAAAGGUAAAAACCGGUUCUUAAUAAAAUAUUUAAAAUGUGAUUCUUAGCUUUUUUUAGUUAAAAAUUAAGAGACGGUUUCUUAUAUUUCGAUAAAAAUUUCACCUCAAGAACUUUCAAUUAAUCAUGGUCUUAGUGCAUUGUAGUCCGAUUUAUAAAAAAGAUAUUUACAAAAAGCCCUAACCGAACCCCAUCAACGUUACCUAUAUUUCUAUAUGCUCAACACAGCCCAUUUACUCUUUUAAGGUUUGAAAUGCCUAGUUUUAGAUUUUUCGUCUAAACGUUAACUUUUAUAGGUACACGCCAAAAAGCCCAUGGACGUCGCAGCCCACACUACAAAAGAGUGUUGAGCAGGGGACGAGUCAUGUGGCUUCAAUGUUCAAUCCCAAGUAAUGGAGUUUAUGUCCCUUGGACAAAGAAAUGCUAUAUAAUCUACAAAAGUAGAUUCCAUGUUGAAGCGAUAAGAAUCAUAUGAAUGUCUUACUACAAAAUAAGGUAAAGUUUCUUACUGUUAGCUACUAUACACCAAAAGUGCAAUCAGUUUUACUUUAGUGAUUUAAAUCGAUUGACUACGCUGGAACAUUUAAAAUCAGUUUGAAUUGAUUAUAAUAGUGGAUCAUAAAAUUACUAUAUUUGUUAACGUAACUGCGCUUCUGUUAUACCUCAAUGAGAGAGCAAAACGAAAAGAGAACGAUAAAUUAUAUAAAAAAUAAAUUUCACUUUUAAUAUAAUAGUUCAAUUUUCAAAGAUAUGAACUCUGUCCCCAAGUAAUAUGUGCAUUAUUUGCCAUACCAAACUUUUCCACGGCACAUGAAACAGUGAGAUUCCUCUGAAUAAUAGUACUAUACAUAAUAGUUUUUUAAUCAAACAACUAAUGAAUAAGGUUAGACCAAAAAAACUAAUGAAUUAGGAAGAGACAUUGGGAAAAAGUUUGCUUGCAUGUAUAUACAUCAUCUAAAGAACUUUACCACUAUCAUCUAAUUAUCUUUAUCAAUAAUGUCUUGUAACUAAUGAUUGUUAAUUAUAUACAUACCACUAGGUUUACCACUUACCAAAAUAAGAAAUUCAGUGCAAAGAUAAUGUGCUGGGUUGCAAAACCAUUACAUACCUACUCGGCAUAUAUGUCAUAUAUACACGCAAAUAAGUUGAAAAUUUAACAAAAUUCAAAUAUUGAGCACCAGAUUAAUUUCAUAAACAUACUGCAAUAUAUAUUAUAUAUAUUAUAUAUAUUCUUUACAAUGAUACAACAUGCUAUCAGUAAAACUUAAUUAAAAGGAAAAAUCACUUGAAAAGUCAAAGAAGUGACAAAAAGGCUUCUUGUUCAUGUGAUCUUCCUAGGCCGCCCGCCCACCUCUCAACUCCCAAACGUAUUGCAAUAUUGACAUAUAAUAGCUUCAGUUAUAUUACAGUCAACUUGAAAGGUAUAAUUACGACAAGGGUAAAUUAGUUAUCAUUUUUGUGUAAGGUAAAUUAAUUAACAUAUAAAAAUAAUUUUGUAAAUAAUAAAACAUAUAUAGUAAAGUAUGUAUUCUGGACCGUCAGAUCAACUGAAACUCCAAAGUGGAAUAUCAGCAUCUUCGUAGAAAUACCCAUCGACCAUAUUCGUGGUCGAGUUCAGUGGAGGAGAGUAAUUAAACGGAGCUCCAUCAUCGAAGAAGAACAUCCCAUUAUGAUCAUUGUCAUACCACG